Bombus terrestris (buff-tailed bumblebee) is the source of this 889-nucleotide long non-coding RNA. RefSeq lists it as uncharacterized. The record is from RefSeq and is a predicted model, not a curated record. Lineage: Eukaryota; Metazoa; Arthropoda; Insecta; Hymenoptera; Apidae. The transcript has 2 exons.
GCGAGUAUUCUAGCUACGUUUCAAAAUUUUUUAUAUAUACAUAAGUAUGUACGAGCAUUGACUAAAUAUAGAUUAGGCCUUGCAUCCAAUGCAAGAAGCGUCCACAAGCCGAGGGUUAUCUCAUUCAUAUCACAUUUUUCCAACCUACGAUCCGUUCUAGAUUUUUUGGUUUGGUUAUUCUUAUUGCUAAUUAAUACUAUUUUUAUUGCUAACUCUUACUUCACUGUAUUCAGGGAUCGUUUCAUUUCCUUUGGUUUUUGUCCUUGUUGUAGGGAUUUUCCUAUUGUAUUAUAUUGCACUUUGUUACAUUUCAACGUGUAGUCCUUCCUGAUUCGAGUUUUAUUUAUCUGUCAUCUACUUGUUUUCUCAGUCUUUCUAUUUCCCUUAUUCACUAUAUUCCUUUAACAUCUCCUGAGCUGUAUGAUAUACUUCCUAAUCUAAUCUCUUUCCAAAUUUCCCUAUCGAUUUCCCUACAGCUAUAUAAUAAAUGCUCCAAACAGCGUUCUGCUCCUUCACAUAACUUCCUAUCUAUAUUUCUUUCUCAUCUUCUUACGGCGAGACUUUAUAGCAAUGAAUCUAUGAGUAAUACACAGAUUAAAGAGCUAUUUAGACUUCAGUGGAAAAUUAGAAAGUGAUAGAAUACUUAGAUAGAAUUUUAGAAUACCCUAGAAUGUGACAGCUGCUGUACAGAAACUACUGUAUCGACAGAGGCCUUAAUAUGAUCAAUAUUGAAGAAUUAAUACACCAAAGAUACUGAUAAUAUAAAUACAUUCAAAUUUCAAUAAAUUUCUAAAACAGACCAGUAACUGCAAAUGGAUUAUAAAGGUAUUUAAAGCAAUUCAUAAUUUGUAUACAUUUGUUAAAAAAUAAAGAAAAUAAUAAACUGCAA